GACGAACGCUGGCGGCGUGCUUAACACAUGCAAGUCGAACGGAAAGGCCCUGCUUUUGUGGGGUGCUCGAGUGGCGAACGGGUGAGUAACACGUGAGUAACCUGCCCUUGACUUUGGGAUAACUUCAGGAAACUGGGGCUAAUACCGGAUAGGAGCUCCUGCUGCAUGGUGGGGGUUGGAAAGUUUCGGCGGUUGGGGAUGGACUCGCGGCUUAUCAGCUUGUUGGUGGGGUAGUGGCUUACCAAGGCUUUGACGGGUAGCCGGCCUGAGAGGGUGACCGGCCACAGUGGGAUUGAGAUACGGCCCAGACUCCUACGGGAGGCAGAAGUGGGGAUUAUUGCACAAUGGGCGGAAGCCUGAUGCAGCAACGCCGCGUGCGGGAUGACGGCCUUCGGGUUGUAAACCGCUUUCGCCUGUGACGAAGCGUGAGUGACGGUAAUGGGUAAAGAAGCACCGGCUAACUACGUG
This 468-nucleotide ribosomal RNA is filed under the name uncultured bacterium. RNAcentral describes it as "partial 16S ribosomal RNA". It matches the Rfam family "Bacterial small subunit ribosomal RNA", at positions 28 to 507 of the family's 1533-position model. The record is from RNAcentral.